This 1068-nucleotide long non-coding RNA is filed under the name Gallus gallus (chicken). RNAcentral's name for it is "lncRNA (ENSGALG00010028977.1)". Lineage: Eukaryota; Metazoa; Chordata; Aves; Galliformes; Phasianidae. The record is from RNAcentral.
CCAGAAUCUCUCUGACUUUCAGCCAUGGCCUCUUCCUCCUGGCUUUCAAGAUGUUCAGAGGCAUUGCUAAGAAAGAAAGAGCAGAGCUCUUCCUAGGCCAUGGCCGAGUUCACCUUUCCAGGUGUAUGCCAGAGCAUGAAGCAUGGUCAACAAGGACGGGGUAGCAGGAGCUGGAAACAGGGGAAGCUUCCACAGAGCCCCCCGCUGGAGUCCCAGGGUGAUGAGCUGAAGCUGAUCUUGGCAGCAUGAAAGGUGGUUUUCCGGGAUGUGUGCCGUAUAGGGCUCAGGGCUGUCACUGGGGUUGCUUUCACAGGACCCCCCCCAGCCCAGCUCAGGACCCCUGGUGAGUCUGUGGGUGACAAAUGUGUCACUGAGAGACAGCAUCAGGGUGGGAAUGCGGGGACCAUAGUGCCCAGGGCAGAGCCAAGCGGUGCUGGGGGGGUCACCCCCGAGGAGAAAGUCUCCCCCACGGGAGAAAUGGAUUGCUUAGCUCCCCACUAAGCUCCCAUUGCCUCCCAGUAUUGUCUAGAGUCGUCUUGUGCAAACUCAGUGCCCCCCAGUGCUGCCUGGCACCACCCCAGUGGUGUCUGCGGCCCUGAAUAGCCUCCCAGUGCCCUGCAGUGGGCUUCCCAGUGCCUCCAGUACUGCCCAGUGCCCCCAGCUCAACACACCCACUGCUCACUGCGUGACCAUCUCCUUCCCCGGGAACAGCACAAGGCAACAGAGACGUUGACAGCAGCGAUGGAGAUGGAGAUGUUCAGAGUGGAGGAGCUGUUGGCUCGCUGCAGCCACCCCAGCAUCCCCGGAGCUCCCUGCUGGCCCCGGAGGAGUCCGAGUGCUCUGUGCUGGAAGAAGAGGAGUCGAGGCUGCUGGAGACAUCAGGGCUCAGUGGCUCUGUGGCAGUGAUGCGCUGCAUUAGCUCUUGCGUUUGGCAGCUGUUUGCAAUGGCUUUGGUCCCCUCUCUUGUGACACCGGGCAGGUCCUGCUUGUGCUGGGGGACCUCCAGAGCCGCUUCUGAAAAAGCAAGAACAUCCCCCCGAACGAUGAUGGCAGCCUUCCCACAGCCAC